Molecule: ribosomal RNA, 253 nt
Filed under: Duodenibacillus massiliensis
Lineage: Bacteria; Pseudomonadati; Pseudomonadota; Betaproteobacteria; Burkholderiales; Sutterellaceae
Description: partial 16S ribosomal RNA
Rfam family: Bacterial small subunit ribosomal RNA
Source: RNAcentral
UACGUAGGGUGCGAGCGUUAAUCGGAAUUACUGGGCGUAAAGCGUGCGCAGGCGGUUGGGUAAGACAGAUGUGAAAUCCCCGGGCUUAACCUGGGAACUGCAUUUGUGACUGUCCGACUGGAGUGCGUCAGAGGGGGGUGGAAUUCCACGUGUAGCAGUGAAAUGCGUAGAUAUGUGGAAGAACACCGAUGGCGAAGGCAGCCCCCUGGGACGCAACUGACGCUCAUGCACGAAAGCGUGGGGAGCAAACAGG